UGCCGCGUGCGUGAUGACGGUCUUCUGGAUUGUAAACUGUUUUUGUGCGAAAAAAAACACUCCUAUGUAUAGGAGCUUGACCGGAUCGUACCAAUAAAGAUCGGCUAACUCCAUGCCAGCCGCCGCGGUAAUACGGAGGAUCCGGGCGUUAUCCGGAAUCAAUGGGUUUAAAGGGUCCGUAGGCGGUUUAGUAAGUCAGUGGGGAAAGCCCAUCGCUCAACGGUGGAACGGCCAUUGAUACUGCUGAACUUGAAUUACUGGGGAGUAACUGUAAUAUGUUUUGUAGCGGAGAAAUGCUUAGAUAUUACAUGGAAUACCAAUUGCGAAGGCAGGUUACUACCAGUUGAUUGACGCUGAUGGACGAAAGCGUGGGGAGCGAACAGGAUUAGAUACCCUGGUAGUCCACGCCGUAAACGAUGGAUACUAGCUGUUGGGAGCAAUUUCAGUGGCUAAGCGAAAGUGAUAAGUAUCCCACCUGGGGAGUACGUUCGCAAGAAUGAAACUCAAAGGAAUUGACGGGGGCCCGCACAAGCGGUGGAGCAUGUGGUUUAAUACGAUGAUACGCGGAGGAACCUUACCAAGGCUUAAAUGUAGGAUUGACCGUU
Molecule: ribosomal RNA, 605 nt
Filed under: Flavobacteriaceae bacterium Ri3Pw_6310
Lineage: Bacteria; Pseudomonadati; Bacteroidota; Flavobacteriia; Flavobacteriales; Flavobacteriaceae
Description: bacterial SSU rRNA
Rfam family: Bacterial small subunit ribosomal RNA
Source: RNAcentral